RNAcentral lists this ribosomal RNA (253 nucleotides) under uncultured bacterium. RNAcentral's name for it is "partial 16S ribosomal RNA". It matches the Rfam family "Bacterial small subunit ribosomal RNA", at positions 524 to 776 of the family's 1533-position model. The record is from RNAcentral.
UACGGAGGGGGCUAGCGUUGUUCGGAAUUACUGGGCGUAAAGCGCACGUAGGCGGAUCAGUCAGUUAGAGGUGAAAGCCCAGUGCUCAACACUGGAACUGCCUUUAAGACUGCAUCGCUUGAAUCCAGGAGAGGUGAGUGGAAUUCCGAGUGUAGAGGUGAAAUUCGUAGAUAUUCGGAAGAACACCAGUGGCGAAGGCGGCUCACUGGACUGGUAUUGACGCUGAGGUGCGAAAGCGUGGGGAGCAAACAGG